UAAUACAGAGGGUGCAAGCGUUAAUCGGAAUUACUGGGCGUAAAGCGCGCGUAGGUGGUUUGAUAAGUUGGAUGUGAAAUCCCCGGGCUUAACCUGGGUCGGUCAUUCAAAACUGUCAGACUAGAGUAUGGUAGAGGGUAGUGGAAUUCCUAGUGUAGCGGUGAAAUGCGUAGAUAUUAGGAGGAACACCAGUGGCGAAGGCGACUGCCUGGACUGAUACUGACACUGAGGUGCGAAAGCGUGGGUAGCGAACAGGAUUAGAUACCCUGGUAGUCCACGCCGUAAACGAUGACAACUAGACGUUGGGUUCCUUAGAGAAUUUAGUGUCGAAGCUAACGCGUUAAGUUGUCCGCCUGGGGAGUACGGUCGCAAGAUUA
Molecule: ribosomal RNA, 377 nt
Filed under: uncultured bacterium
Lineage: Bacteria
Description: bacterial SSU rRNA
Rfam family: Bacterial small subunit ribosomal RNA
Source: RNAcentral